Molecule: ribosomal RNA, 1146 nt
Filed under: uncultured beta proteobacterium
Lineage: Bacteria; Pseudomonadati; Pseudomonadota; Betaproteobacteria
Description: bacterial SSU rRNA
Rfam family: Bacterial small subunit ribosomal RNA
Source: RNAcentral
CUUUACACAUGCAAGUCGAACGGCAGCGCGAACUUCGGUUUGGCGGCGAGUGGCGAACGGGUGAGUAAUAUAUCGGAACGUACCCAGUAGCGGGGGAUAACUACUCGAAAGAGUAGCUAAUACCGCAUACGCCCUACGGGGGAAAGGGGGGGAUCGCAAGACCUCUCACUAUUGGAGCGGCCGAUAUCGGAUUAGCUAGUUGGUGGGGUAAAGGCUCACCAAGGCGACGAUCCGUAGCUGGUUUGAGAGGACGACCAGCCACACUGGGACUGAGACACGGCCCAGACUCCUACGGGAGGCAGCAGUGGGGAAUUUUGGACAAUGGGGGCAACCCUGAUCCAGCCAUCCCGCGUGUGCGAUGAAGGCCUUCGGGUUGUAAAGCACUUUUGGCAGGAAAGAAAUCGCAUGGGUUAAUAACCUGUGUGGAUGACGGUACCUGCAGAAUAAGCACCGGCUAACUACGUGCCAGCAGCCGCGGUAAUACGUAGGGUGCAAGCGUUAAUCGGAAUUACUGGGCGUAAAGCGUGCGCAGGCGGUUCGGAAAGAAAGAUGUGAAAUCCCAGGGCUUAACCUUGGAACUGCAUUUUUAACUACCGAGCUAGAGUAUGUCAGAGGGGGGUGGAAUUCCGCGUGUAGCAGUGAAAUGCGUAGAUAUGCGGAGGAACACCGAUGGCGAAGGCAGCCCCCUGGGAUAGUUGGGUUAAGUCCCGCAACGAGCGCAACCCUUGUCAUUAGUUGCUACGAAAGGGCACUCUAAUGAGACCGCCGGUGACAAACCGGAGGAAGGUGGGGAUGACGUCAAGUCCUCAUGGCCCUUAUGGGUAGGGCUUCACACGUCAUACAAUGGUCGGGACAGAGGGUUGCCAACCCGCGAGGGGGAGCCAAUCUCAGAAACCCGAUCGUAGUCCGGAUUGCAGUCUGCAACUCGACUGCAUGAAGUCGGAAUCGCUAGUAAUCGCGGAUCAGCAUGUCGCGGUGAAUACGUUCCCGGGUCUUGUACACACCGCCCGUCACACCAUGGGAGUGGGUUUCACCAGAAGUAGUUAGCCUAACCGCAAGGGGGGCGAUUACCACGGUGGGAUUCAUGACUGGGGUGAAGUCGUAACAAGGUAGCCGUAUCGGAAGGUGCGGCUGGAUCACCUCCUU